AUUCCCCUAGUAACUGCGAGUGAAGCGGGAAAAGCUCAAAUUUAAAAUCUGGUGGUCUUUGGCCAUCCGAGUUGUAAUUUAGAGAAGCGUCUUCCGCGCUGGACCGUGCACAAGUCUCCUGGAAUGGAGCGUCAUAGAGGGUGAGAAUCCCGUCUUUGGCACGGACACACCAGGGCUUUUGUGAUGCGCUCUCGAAGAGUCGAGUUGUUUGGGAAUGCAGCUCAAAAUGGGUGGUGAACUCCAUCUAAAGCUAAAUAUUGGCGAGAGACCGAUAGCGAACAAGUACCGUGAGGGAAAGAUGAAAAGCACUUUGGAAAGAGAGUGAAACAGUACGUGAAAUUGUUGAAAGGGAAACGCUUGAAGUCAGUCGCGUCGACCGAGACUCAGCCUUGCCUUGGCUUGGUGCACUUCUCGGCUGACGGGUCAGCAUCAAUUUUGCCCCUUGGAUAAUGGCGAGGGAAAUGUGACACCUUUACGGUGUGUUAUAGUCCCUCGUCGCAUGCAAGGGUCGGGAUUGAGGAACUCAGCACGCGCCUUUUGGCGUCGGGGCUUUGCCCACGAUACGUGCUUAGGAUGUUGGCGUAAUGGCUUUAAACGACCCGUCUUGAAACACGGACCAAGGAGUCUAACAUGCCCGCGAGUGCUCGGGUGGAAAACCCGUGCGCGUAAUGAAAGUGAAAGUUGGGACCUCCGUCGUGGAGGGCACCGACGCCCGGACCAGACCUUCUGUGACGGCUCUGCGGUAGAGCGUGUAUGUUAGGACCCGAAAGAUGGUGAACUAUGCCUGAAUAGGGUGAAGCCAGAGGAAACUCUGGUGGAGGCUCGUAGCGAUUCUGACGUGCAAAUCGAUCGUCAAAUUUGGGUAUAGGGGCGAAAGAC
RNAcentral lists this ribosomal RNA (879 nucleotides) under Russula rosea. RNAcentral's name for it is "eukaryotic LSU rRNA". It matches the Rfam family "Eukaryotic large subunit ribosomal RNA", at positions 74 to 931 of the family's 3401-position model. Lineage: Eukaryota; Fungi; Basidiomycota; Agaricomycetes; Russulales; Russulaceae. The record is from RNAcentral.